AGCGAACGCUGGCGGCAGGCUUAACACAUGCAAGUCGAGCGGGCACUUCGGUGUCAGCGGCAGACGGGUGAGUAACACGUGGGAACGUACCCUUUGGUUCGGAAUAACGCUGGGAAACUAGCGCUAAUACCGGAUACGCCCUUUUGGGGAAAGGCUUGCUGCCGAAGGAUCGGCCCGCGUCUGAUUAGCUAGUUGGUGGGGUAAUGGCCUACCAAGGCGACGAUCAGUAGCUGGUCUGAGAGGAUGAUCAGCCACACUGGGACUGAGACACGGCCCAGACUCCUACGGGAGGGAGCAGUGGGGAAUAUUGGAAAAUGGGCGCAAGCCUGAUCCAGCCAUGCCGCGUGAGUGAUGAAGGCGUUAGGGUUGUAAAGCUCUUUUGUCCGGGACGAUAAUGACGGUACCGGAAGAAUAAGCCCCGGCUAACUUCGUG
This 433-nucleotide ribosomal RNA is filed under the name uncultured bacterium. RNAcentral's name for it is "partial 16S ribosomal RNA". It matches the Rfam family "Bacterial small subunit ribosomal RNA", at positions 29 to 507 of the family's 1533-position model. The record is from RNAcentral.